GCGGGUAUGGCGCAGUCGGUAGCGCAUUCUGCCACCAGCAGAAAGGUCAGGGGUUCGAAUCCCUUUGCCCGCUACA
This 76-nucleotide transfer RNA is filed under the name Candidatus Portnoybacteria bacterium CG03_land_8_20_14_0_80_41_10. RNAcentral describes it as "tRNA-Gly". It matches the Rfam family "tRNA". Rfam says of the family: Transfer RNA (tRNA) molecules are approximately 80 nucleotides in length. Their secondary structure includes four short double-helical elements and three loops (D, anti-codon, and T loops). The record is from RNAcentral. Lineage: Bacteria; Candidatus Portnoyibacteriota.